Molecule: ribosomal RNA, 465 nt
Filed under: uncultured bacterium
Lineage: Bacteria
Description: bacterial SSU rRNA
Rfam family: Bacterial small subunit ribosomal RNA
Source: RNAcentral
CCAGACUCCUACGGGAGGCAGCAGUGAGGAAUAUUGGUCAAUGGACGGAAGUCUGAACCAGCCAUGCCGCGUGCAGGAUGACGGCUCUAUGAGUUGUAAACUGCUUUUGUAUUAGGGUAAACACCCCUACGUGUAGGGGCUUGAAAGUAUAAUACGAAUAAGGAUCGGCUAACUCCGUGCCAGCAGCCGCGGUAAUACGGAGGAUCCAAGCGUUAUCCGGAUUUAUUGGGUUUAAAGGGUGCGCAGGCGGAGGUGCAAGUCAGCGGUCAAAUUGCGGGGCUCAACCCCGUACUGCCGUUGAAACUGCAUCCCUUGAGUGCGCGAGAAGUAUGCGGAAUGCGUGGUGUAGCGGUGAAAUGCAUAGAUAUCACGCAGAACUCCGAUUGCGAAGGCAGCAUACCGGCGCGCAACUGACGCUCAUGCACGAAAGCGUGGGUAUCGAACAGGAUUAGAUACCCUAGUACA